AGGAUUCAUAUUAACACUAUCUGUUUGAGCUGUGUGUGAGCACCUCCUUUGAAACUGAUCACAACUUCCACCUUUCUAAGUCAAUAAUGUUUUAACUGCCCAUUUGUGCUCCACUCUGUACCCCCAGCUGCUGCUUCAGGCAAUUCUUGGUUCAGCCCCUCAGUUAUGCUACCUUCUAAUGGGGUUGUACUCACCAUGUUCAUGAGAAGAGCCUUGAGACCUUCAGAGAUGGCGGAAACCAUAGGCAUUCAUUUUUCCUUGGAUGAAACGAGUGGGUGAGGAGAGAGGUCACACCAGGUUGAAUUCAUCGCCUGAGAACAACUGGCGAGUCUGUGUGAGAGAUGCAGGACCGAGGUGUUGCUCCCUGCCUGGGUGCUCUGCCAUGCCACAUCUGUCCAUCUGUCAAGCAUACAGUCCCAUCAAUCAAACAGCUGAAUGCAGGCAAGGGAGCCCCAGCUGCUGCCACACGGAGGGAUAAGAGGAAGAAGAAGAAGGAGAAGAAAUGGCACAGCUAGCACAACUCAUCCCAUUUGGGUCUGACGCAGAAAAGCUGGUUUUGACACUUUGACACGCCGUGCUGGUAAGAAUGCAUAAUCAGCAUCAUGUAUCACACAUCCAAGUCACUGCUUUUGCUC
Molecule: long non-coding RNA, 635 nt
Organism: Lates calcarifer (barramundi perch)
Lineage: Eukaryota; Metazoa; Chordata; Actinopteri; Centropomidae
Exons: 6
Source: RefSeq, a predicted model, not a curated record